Molecule: long non-coding RNA, 330 nt
Organism: Culex quinquefasciatus (southern house mosquito)
Lineage: Eukaryota; Metazoa; Arthropoda; Insecta; Diptera; Culicidae
Exons: 2
Source: RefSeq, a predicted model, not a curated record
CAAUUCGAGCAAACUAUCCAAAAAUUGGCGUUCUCGCAGCUCAAAGAUGAACGGGUUAAACUAAUGGUGCGACUUCUUUGGAUGCAAGUGAAGCAUGAACGGAUGGAAGUUUGGUUCGGCGAUGUCGUCCGGAUUGACCACUCGUUGAUUUUGGCGAUUUUCUCAUCGACUCUGAAAUAUCUCGUUCUACUGAUCCAGUUUCAGCUGCAGGGUGGCCACUGAACUCGGCUCAAAGUGCUGAAGGUAAUUCGGUUAUCAAAUGAAACGAGGCGUCUAACUGCUUUUAUGCUUGCAAUAAAACUGUUGAAGCCGAACGAGGUGAAGCGUUCC